RNAcentral lists this ribosomal RNA (897 nucleotides) under uncultured bacterium. RNAcentral describes it as "bacterial SSU rRNA". It matches the Rfam family "Bacterial small subunit ribosomal RNA", at positions 1 to 899 of the family's 1533-position model. The record is from RNAcentral.
CUUAGAAGUUUGAUCCUGGCUCAGGAUGAACGCUGGCGGCGUGCCUAACACAUGCAAGUCGAACGGAACUUCUUUGACAGAAUUCUUCGGAAGGAAGUUGAUUAAGUUUAGUGGCGGACGGGUGAGUAACGCGUGAGUAACCUGCCUUUGAGAGGGGAAUAACUUCCCGAAAGGGAUGCUAAUACCGCAUGACGCAUAUUUAUCGCAUGGUAGAUGUGCCAAAGAUUUAUCGCUCAAGGAUGGACUCGCGUCCGAUUAGCCAGUUGGCGGGGUAACGGCCCACCAAAGCGACGAUCGGUAGCCGGACUGAGAGGUUGAACGGCCACAUUGGGACUGAGACACGGCCCAGACUCCUACGGGAGGCAGCAGUGGGGGAUAUUGCGCAAUGGGGGAAACCCUGACGCAGCAACGCCGCGUGAAGGAUGAAGGUUUUCGGAUUGUAAACUUCUUUUAUUUAGGACGAACAAUGACGGUACUAAAUGAAUAAGCUCCGGCUAACUACGUGCCAGCAGCCGCGGUAAUACGUAGGGAGCAAGCGUUAUCCGGAUUUACUGGGUGUAAAGGGUGCGUAGGCGGCUUGGUAAGUCAGAUGUGAAAUGUAUGGGCUCAACCCAUGCACUGCAUUUGAAACUAUUGAGCUUGAGUGAAGUAGAGGUAGGCGGAAUUCCCUGUGUAGCGGUGAAAUGCGUAGAGAUAGGGAGGAACACCAGUGGCGAAGGCGGCCUACUGGGCUUUAACUGACGCUGAGGCACGAAAGCGUGGGUAGCAAACAGGAUUAGAUACCCUGGUAGUCCACGCUGUAAACGAUGAUUACUAGGUGUGGGGGGUCUGACCCCUUCCGUGCCGGAGUUAACACAAUAAGUAAUCCACCUGGGGAGUACGACCGCAAGAUUGAAA